UACGUAGGGUGCGAGCGUUAAUCGGAAUUACUGGGCGUAAAGCGUGCGCAGGCGGCUUUGCAAGACAGAUGUGAAAUCCCCGGGCUCAACCUGGGAACUGCAUUUGUGACUGCAAGGCUAGAGUACGGCAGAGGGGGAUGGAAUUCCGCGUGUAGCAGUGAAAUGCGUAGAUAUGCGGAGGAACACCAAUGGCGAAGGCAAACCCCUGGGCCUGUACUGACGCUCAUGCACGAAAG
This 236-nucleotide ribosomal RNA is filed under the name uncultured bacterium. Its description in RNAcentral is "partial 16S ribosomal RNA". It matches the Rfam family "Bacterial small subunit ribosomal RNA", at positions 524 to 759 of the family's 1533-position model. The record is from RNAcentral.